This 424-nucleotide ribosomal RNA is filed under the name uncultured bacterium. Its description in RNAcentral is "bacterial SSU rRNA". It matches the Rfam family "Bacterial small subunit ribosomal RNA", at positions 917 to 1344 of the family's 1533-position model. The record is from RNAcentral.
GGGCCCGCACAAGCGGUGGAGCAUGUGGUUUAAUUCGAUGAUACGCGAGGAACCUUACCAGGACUUAAAUGUAAGUUGCAUGAUUCAGAAAUGAAUCUUUCUUCGGACUACUUACAAGGUGCUGCAUGGUUGUCGUCAGCUCGUGCCGUGAGGUGUCAGGUUAAGUCCUAUAACGAGCGCAACCCCUAUCGUUAGUUGCCAUCAAGUAAAGUUGGGAACUCUAGCGAAACUGCCGGUGCAAACCGAGAGGAAGGUGGGGAUGACGUCAAAUCAUCACGGCCCUUACGUUCUGGGCUACACACGUGCUACAAUGGUCGGUACAGAAAGCAGCCACUAUGCGAAUAGGAGCUAAUCUUUAAAACCGAUCUCAGUUCGGAUCGCAGUCUGCAACUCGACUGCGUGAAGCUGGAAUCGCUAGUAAUCG